RNAcentral lists this ribosomal RNA (496 nucleotides) under uncultured bacterium. RNAcentral describes it as "partial 16S ribosomal RNA". It matches the Rfam family "Bacterial small subunit ribosomal RNA", at positions 28 to 506 of the family's 1533-position model. The record is from RNAcentral.
GAUGAACGCUGGCGGCGUGCCUAAUACAUGCAAGUCGAGCGAACGGAUGAGAAGCUUGCUUCUCUGAUGUUAGCGGCGGACGGGUGAGUAACACGUGGAUAACCUACCUAUAAGACUGGGAUAACUUCGGGAAACCGGAGCUAAUACCGGAUAAUAUUUUGAACCGCAUGGUUCAAAAGUGAAAGACGGUCUUGCUGUCACUUAUAGAUGGAUCCGCGCUGCAUUAGCUAGUUGGUAAGGUAACGGCUUACCAAGGCAACGAUGCAUAGCCGACCUGAGAGGGGGAUCGGCCACACUGGAACUGAGACACGGUCCAGACUCCUACGGGAGGCAGCAGUAGGGAAUCUUCCGCAAUGGGCGAAAGCCUGACGGAGCAACGCCGCGUGAGUGAUGAAGGUCUUCGGAUCGUAAAACUCUGUUAUUAGGGAAGAACAUAUGUGUAAGUAACUGUGCACAUCUUGACGGUACCUAAUCAGAAAGCCACGGCUAACUACGU